GCUACUCUUACAAUGAUCUGACAACACUUUAUUUAAGUUUUUGUUUUAAAUACUUUUUAGGAUCCUCCAGUAUUGUCCAAAUCAUACAAAACUUUAAAAACAGUGUAGCACAAACACAUGAUUUUAAUUUGAUUAAUAUAAAUUUAGACAUAAAUGAGCUACUCGUAUCAACCUAGGUUUGAUGAGGUAUUUGAUUUCAUUAUAACCAUGAUCGUAAGUAAAAACCAAACAUCUUGGAAACUUUAGAUUGAUUUAAAAAUUGAUCUCAUUCAAGGAUAUUUUCAAGUAUUUAGAAAAGCAGCGUUUAUAUAAUUUAUAUAUGAAAGCAUUGAACAACCUCAGAAAUAGAUCAUAAGAUUAGGUUAACAUCAGGAUCUGCACUGAAUACUAUAUGUAUAAAAUUAUAUAUGUUGAAACAACAAAUGUCACAAUACCAAGUUAUAGUCAUGAAUCAGAUUAAAUUAAGUGAAAAUUCCACACGUCUUAGUAUUGGGUAAAUAUUGUAUCAAAUGAAAAAUUCAAACCUAACUUCUACGUCAUUUGGUUUCUGGCAGAGAGUUGUCUUUUUUGCAAUCAUACCGCAUCUUCUUAUUUUUAUACCUGUCAGUUUUACUAAUGCUUUAACUUAAAUCAUUCUAUUUGUGUACAAUUGACACUUUAUAAAGUCAUAUUGACUUAAGUAUAGUUGAAAUUAUUACUGUAAAUUUGUCGAAACCAAUACUUGUUAAGAAUUUUCCAUUUUCAAGCUAUCAACUUUGUUUUCAUUUUUAUAAAUUUUUGCAAAAAAACCUUUCAGGUGACUGUGUCCAUGUUCAUUCAAAGCAAAUGGAAACAGCAUGUUUCCAUGUUGCCACGCUUUUAAGAACUUUCAUUCCAUAUCAACUGAUCAGCUAUACAAAGUUUAGCAUAAAUGCGUUACGCACAUACAAUGUCUAAAUAAUUAUCAGAUCCUGCACAAUUCCCCAUGCUUGCUCUAUAUAUUUUUUUAAAGGCAGGGAUAGAGUUCCUCUUUAUUUAGAGUUAAUUCCCUUUGCAAAAUAUAGUAUCUAAAUUUGAAAAUAAUCCAAUAACUUGGAAAUGAAAUAUUGCACAAAAC
This 1096-nucleotide long non-coding RNA is filed under the name Mytilus galloprovincialis (Mediterranean mussel). Lineage: Eukaryota; Metazoa; Mollusca; Bivalvia; Mytilida; Mytilidae. The record is from RNAcentral.